UAUCCCCUCAGUCCUGCGGCUCACAUUCACCUCUCUCUCAACGCCGGUCGCCGCCUAGAUGUGUCACCUGACUUGCCACCGUCCUCCACUCUCGUCUCAGAUUUGACCCCAAAGUCAAGCGGCAGGCAGCAGCAGCAGGUUCCCGUGUCGCCAUGAGCUGGAUGGGGAAGCGGGGGUUGGGUGGGGAGAGCCCGCACUGGCGGAGAAGAUGGACGAGGACUGGCGGCCUCGGAGCUACUGGCGGCCCCGGAGGUACCUCGCCGCCGCGUCCAGUUCGACCCUGCCUCCUGCAAGCAUGGCGACUUCUUCGACACCGUCUGGGCGGGCCACGACCUAACCACGCCCAAUCUCUUCAGCAGCCUCCUACUCAUGUUGGCCAGUAUUUGUUGUGCCUUAUAAUCUUCCACCAGAAAUGUGCAUGAAGCAGAGUAACCUGAUCCUUGCACUAGUUAUUCUCGGUCCAGAUCAUCCAGGAAAGAACCCUAUAUGUGGAUCUGACAUAAAGACAUUCUCAUUGAAGAAUGGGAGAAAACCAUGCUGGUUUGACUGCCAUAGGAGAUUCCUUCCCACUGACCAUGCAUUUCGUAGGAGUGUGAAAUGUUUUCGCAAGAAAAAAACAGUUUUAGAUCCUCCACCAAAGCCCUUGUCCGGAGAACAGGUGUAUGAAGAACUCCAAAGUCUUGUCCAUGAUGAAACUGGCAAGAGUAAAUUUGAGGGGUUUGGGAAGGAGCACAAUUGGAUAGCUAUAAGUGGUUUGUGGCAGCUAGAGUAUUUUCAGAAGUUGCUGCUUCGCCAUAACAUUGAUGUAAUGCACAAUGAGAAAAAUGUAUCUGAGGCUUUACCAAAAACAUGCCUUGAUAUUCCUGAGAAAACUAAGGAUAGCAACAAAGCACGCCUUGAUGUUGCUUUGUAUUGUGAUCGACCAAAGCUACACCUGAACAAGAAUUCAAGGGGUGUGUGGAAGAAACCUAGAGCGAAAUAUUGUGUCAGCAAGGAAGAUAGAAUGACCAUCCUUAAGUGGUUUAAAGAAGUGAAGUUUUCUGAUGGGUUUGCUGCUAAUUUGAGUAAAACUGUCAACUUGAGUAAAAACAAAUUCAUUGGGCUGAAAAGCCAUGACCACCACAUCAUCAUGGAGCGCCUCCUGCCAGUUGCCCUAUGAGGCUUCAUCCCAGAACCUGAAUGGAAGGUCAUAGCAGAGUUAAGUUUUUUUUAUCGGCAAUUGUGUGCCAAAGAAAUUGCUCCAAAACGGAUGCGUGAACUUGAGGAGGAGGUUCCUGUUCUAUUAUGCAAGCUUGAGAAAAUGUUCCCACCAGGCUUCUUCAAUGUAAUGCAACACCUGAUAGUGCAUCUUCCAUAUGAGGCAAGGGUUGGCGGCCCUGUGGCAUAUCGUUGGAUGUAUGUUUUUGAGAG
RNAcentral lists this ribosomal RNA (1410 nucleotides) under Triticum aestivum (bread wheat). RNAcentral describes it as "partial small subunit ribosomal RNA". Lineage: Eukaryota; Viridiplantae; Streptophyta; Magnoliopsida; Poales; Poaceae. The record is from RNAcentral.